GUCAGGGUGGCCGAGCGGUCCAGCGCGCUGCGUUCAGGUCGCAGUCCGGUCUUCCGGGCGUGGGUUCGAAUCCCACUUCUGACA
RNAcentral lists this transfer RNA (84 nucleotides) under Rhipicephalus sanguineus (brown dog tick). RNAcentral describes it as "transfer RNA leucine (anticodon CAG)". It matches the Rfam family "tRNA". From Rfam's summary of the family: Transfer RNA (tRNA) molecules are approximately 80 nucleotides in length. Their secondary structure includes four short double-helical elements and three loops (D, anti-codon, and T loops). The record is from Rfam by way of RNAcentral. Lineage: Eukaryota; Metazoa; Arthropoda; Arachnida; Ixodida; Ixodidae.